RNAcentral lists this ribosomal RNA (425 nucleotides) under uncultured bacterium. RNAcentral describes it as "bacterial SSU rRNA". It matches the Rfam family "Bacterial small subunit ribosomal RNA", at positions 354 to 776 of the family's 1533-position model. The record is from RNAcentral.
GUGAGGAAUAUUGGUCAAUGGGCGGAAGCCUGAACCAGCCAAGUCGCGUGAGGGAAGACGGUCCUAUGGAUUGUAAACCUCUUUUGCAGGGGAGCAAGGCGCGGUACGUGUACCGCGAAGGAGAGUACCCUGAGAAAAAGCAUCGGCUAACUCCGUGCCAGCAGCCGCGGUAAUACGGAGGAUGCGAGCGUUAUCCGGAUUUAUUGGGUUUAAAGGGUGCGCAGGCGGACUGUUAAGUCAGCGGUAAAAUGUCGGUGCUCAACACCGGCCGGCCGUUGAAACUGGCAGCCUUGAGUGAGCGAGAAGUAUGCGGAAUGCGUGGUGUAGCGGUGAAAUGCAUAGAUAUCACGCAGAACUCCGAUUGCGAAGGCAGCAUACCGGCGCUCAACUGACGCUCAGGCACGAAAGCGUGGGUAUCGAACAGG